CGGACGGGUGCGUAACACGUGAGCAACCUGCCUGGAAGAGGGGGAUAACCCGGGGAAACCCGGGCUAAUACCGCAUAAUGUGACCAAUCCUUAUGGGUAAGCCACCAAAGAGGGCGUCCUUCGGGAGCUCUCACUCCCAGAUGGGCUCGCGGCCUAUCAGCUUGUUGGUGAGGUAACGGCUCACCAAGGCGAUGACGGGUAGCUGGUCUUAGCGGAUGAUCAGCCACACGGGGACUGAGACACGGCCCCGACUCCUACGGGAGGCAGCAGUGGGGAAUUUUGGACAAUGGGCGAAAGCCUGAUCCAGCGACGCCGCGUGCGGGAGGAAGCCCUUCGGGGUGUAAACCGUUGUCAGGAGGGAAGAACUGAUUCGGGUUAAUACCCUGGAUCUCUGACGGUACCUCCAGAGAAGCGCCGGCUAACUCCGUGCCAGCAGCCGCGGUAAUACGGAGGGCGCAAGCGUCGUCCGGAAUUACUGGGCGUAAAGGGGGCGCAGGCGGCUUGUUAAGUCCUGUGUGAAAACCCGCGGCUCAACCGCGGAAUGCCACAGGAUACUGGCGAGCUAGAGACGGGUAGAGGCGAGUGGAAUUCCGGUGUAGCGGUGGAAUGCGUAGAUAUCGGGAAGAACACCAGUGGCGAAGGCGACUCGCUGGGCCCGUUCUGACGCUCAGGCCCGAAAGCGUGGGGAGCAACAGGAUUAGAUACCUGUAGUCCACGCCGUAACGAUGGCACUAGGUCGGGAGUGUACUUUCGGUCGUAGCUAGCGUUAAGUGCCCCGCCUGGGGAGUACGGCCGCAAGGCUGAAACUCAAAGGAAUUGACGGGGGCCCGCACAAGCGGUGGAGCAUGUGGUUAAUUCGAUGCAACGCGAAGAACCUUACCUGGGCUUGACAUGCUAGGGAACUCGGGUGGAAACAUCCGGGGCCCUUCGGGGCUCUAGCACAGGUGCUGCAUGGCUGUCGUCAG
RNAcentral lists this ribosomal RNA (965 nucleotides) under uncultured bacterium. RNAcentral's name for it is "bacterial SSU rRNA". It matches the Rfam family "Bacterial small subunit ribosomal RNA", at positions 99 to 1058 of the family's 1533-position model. The record is from RNAcentral.